Molecule: long non-coding RNA, 782 nt
Organism: Nerophis lumbriciformis (worm pipefish)
Lineage: Eukaryota; Metazoa; Chordata; Actinopteri; Syngnathiformes; Syngnathidae
Source: RefSeq, a predicted model, not a curated record
UUGGGGUGCGCCCGUCUGAAGACAGGGUGGCGCCGUAUGUUUGUACGUGUCCAUCUGCGGGCGGAGGAUAACCAGCGGAUGUGGCGAGUAAGGGAGGCUUGACUUGGUGGGAUGUGUUGAGGGGGUGAGGGGGGGAGCUCCUUAUGCUCCAUAUUUCCGCCCCCUUUCAAACGCAGGCAUCCUCAGUGGUCCAGCCCAGAGGUCCUUUGAAGCUCCUCGACACCGCUGCGUGAUGAUGUCAUACGGCGAGAGAGCCCGGGGAGGCGAAGGAGGCAUGAUCAAAGCCGAGAAAGGGGAGGGAUGGUAGAUGGGGAGGAGAGGAUAUCCAAGACAACAACGGGACAAAGAUGGCGCCUGCGACGGGACGUCCGCCCGCGUACCUAAACGUCCGGAUCGCCCGGCGGUGGCCUGGGCGCUCGACGGUCCCCAUUCAUCCACCCCCCCUUUGUCCCUGCAGGAUGACCGCCGACAUGACACGCCGGAACCACCAGGCCUACCACCUCCGCCGCCGCCGCCAUCGCCACCAGGCUAGCACGGCUAUGCUUGGACCAGAUGGAGAAGCCGUCGGUCCAGGACUGGACCAGGACUCGGACUGGUGUGUGGACCUCACCUGAGCCACCACCGCACUCCGCCUCCUCCACGUACCAACAGGGAGGCAUGGCUGGGUGCUCCCGACUGACUGACAGCCGGCUGGAUGAGGAGGGUGACAGGCGGGACGCUCGGGCGCUGCUGCUGGUGAAGUGGACAUGUGAACCACUUGACUGCAGGUUAGACACCUGAGG